Molecule: ribosomal RNA, 441 nt
Filed under: Procambarus raneyi
Lineage: Eukaryota; Metazoa; Arthropoda; Malacostraca; Decapoda; Cambaridae
Description: partial large subunit ribosomal RNA
Rfam family: Bacterial large subunit ribosomal RNA (bases 291-441)
Source: RNAcentral
AUUAGUUUUUUAAUUGAAGGCUAGAAUGAAUGGUUGGACAAGAAAUAAUCUGUCUUAAAUUAAUAUAUUGAAUUUAACUUUUAAGUGAAAAGGCUUAAAUAAUUUGAAGGGACGAUAAGACCCUAUAAAACUUUAUAUUUGUAAGGUAGUAGUAAAUUUUAUUUUAAUUUAUUAUUUUAAAGUAUUUGGUUGGGGUGACAAGGAUAAAAUAUAAAAUAACUGUCUUUUUUUUUUACAGUAAUGUUUGAUUUAAUGAUCCUAAAAAGGAUUAAAGAUUAAGUUACUUUAGGGAUAACAGCGUAAUUUUCUUUAAGAGUUCUUAUCGACAAGAAAGUUUGCGACCUCGAUGUUGAAUUAAAAGUUCUUUAUAGAGUAGAGACUAUAAGAGAAGGUCUGUUCGACCUUUAAAAUUUACAUGAUUUGAGUUCAGACCGGUGUGAG